GGUUAAGUUAGAAAGGGCGCACGGUGGAUGCCUUGACACUAGGAGUCGAUGAAGGACGGGACUAACGCCGAUAUGCUUCGGGGAGCUGUAAGUAAGCUUUGAUCCGAAGAUUUCCGAAUGGGGAAACCCACCAUACGUAAUGGUAUGGUAUCCUUACCUGAAUACAUAGGGUAAGGAAGACAGACCCAGGGAACUGAAACAUCUAAGUACCUGGAGGAAGAGAAAGCAAAUGCGAUUUCCUGAGUAGCGGCGAGCGAAACGGAACAUAGCCCAAACCAAGAGGCUUGCCUCUUGGGGUUGUAGGACAUUCUAUACGGAGUUACAAAGGAACGAGGUAGACGAAGCGACCUGGAAAGGUCCGUCGUAGAGGGUAACAACCCCGUAGUCGAAACUUCGUUCUCUCUUGAAUGUAUCCUGAGUACGGCGGAACACGUGAAAUUCCGUCGGAAUCUGGGAGGACCAUCUCCCAAGGCUAAAUACUCCCUAGUGAUCGAUAGUGAACCAGUACCGUGAGGGAAAGGUGAAAAGCACCCCGGAAGGGGAGUGAAAGAGAUCCUGAAACCGUGUGCCUACAAAUAGUCAGAGCCCGUUAACGGGUGAUGGCGUGCCUUUUGUAGAAUGAACCGGCGAGUUACGAUCCCGUGCGAGGUUAAGCUGAAGAGGCGGAGCCGCAGCGAAAGCGAGUCUGAAUAGGGCGUUUAGUACGUGGUCGUAGACCCGAAACCAGGUGAUCUACCCAUGUCCAGGGUGAAGUUCAGGUAACACUGAAUGGAGGCCCGAACCCACGCACGUUGAAAAGUGCGGGGAUGAGGUGUGGGUAGCGGAGAAAUUCCAAUCGAACCUGGAGAUAGCUGGUUCUCCCCGAAAUAGCUUUAGGGCUAGCCUUAAGUGUAAGAGUCUUGGAGGUAGAGCACUGAUUGGACUAGGGGUCCUCAUCGGAUUACCGAAUUCAGUCAAACUCCGAAUGCCAAUGACUUAUCCUUAGGAGUCAGACUGCGAGUGAUAAGAUCCGUAGUCAAAAGGGAAACAGCCCAGACCGCCAGCUAAGGUCCCAAAGUGUGUAUUAAGUGGAAAAGGAUGUGGAGUUGCUUAGACAACUAGGAUGUUGGCUUAGAAGCAGCCACCAUUUAAAGAGUGCGUAAUAGCUCACUAGUCGAGUGACUCUGCGCCGAAAAUGUACCGGGGCUAAAUACACCACCGAAGCUGCGGAUUGAUACCAAUGGUAUCAGUGGUAGGGGAGCGUUCUAAGGACAGUGAAGUCAGACCGGAAGGACUGGUGGAGUGCUUAGAAGUGAGAAUGCCGGUAUGAGUAGCGAAAGACGGGUGAGAAUCCCGUCCACCGAAUGCCUAAGGUUUCCUGAGGAAGGCUCGUCCGCUCAGGGUUAGUCAGGACCUAAGCCGAGGCCGACAGGCGUAGGCGAUGGACAACAGGUUGAUAUUCCUGUACCACCUCUUUAUCGUUUGAGCAAUGGAGGGACGCAGAAGGAUAGAAGAAGCGUGCGAUUGGUUGUGCACGUCCAAGCAGUUAGGCUGAUAAGUAGGCAAAUCCGCUUAUCGUGAAGGCUGAGCUGUGAUGGGGAAGCUCCUUAUGGAGCGAAGUCUUUGAUUCCCCGCUGCCAAGAAAAGCUUCUAGCGAGAUAAAAGGUGCCUGUACCGCAAACCGACACAGGUAGGCGAGGAGAGAAUCCUAAGGUGUGCGAGAGAACUCUGGUUAAGGAACUCGGCAAAAUGACCCCGUAACUUCGGGAGAAGGGGUGCUUUCUUAACGGAAAGCCGCAGUGAAUAGGCCCAAGCGACUGUUUAGCAAAAACACAGCUCUCUGCGAAGCCGUAAGGCGAAGUAUAGGGGGUGACACCUGCCCGGUGCUGGAAGGUUAAGGAGAGGGGUUAGCGUAAGCGAAGCUCUGAACUGAAGCCCCAGUAAACGGCGGCCGUAACUAUAACGGUCCUAAGGUAGCGAAAUUCCUUGUCGGGUAAGUUCCGACCCGCACGAAAGGUGUAACGAUUUGGGCACUGUCUCAACCAGAGACUCGGUGAAAUUAUAGUACCUGUGAAGAUGCAGGUUACCCGCGACAGGACGGAAAGACCCGUGGAGCUUUACUGUAGCCUGAUAUUGAAUUUUGGUACAGUUUGUACAGGAUAGGCGGGAGCCUUUGAAACCGGAGCGCUAGCUUCGGUGGAGGCGCUGGUGGGAUACCGCCCUGACUGUAUUGAAAUUCUAACCUACGGGUCUUAUCGACCCGGGAGACAGUGUCAGGUGGGCAGUUUGACUGGGGCGGUCGCCUCCUAAAGUGUAACGGAGGCGCCCAAAGGUUCCCUCAGAAUGGUUGGAAAUCAUUCGUAGAGUGCAAAGGCAUAAGGGAGCUUGACUGCGAGACCUACAAGUCGAGCAGGGACGAAAGUCGGGCUUAGUGAUCCGGUGGUUCCGCAUGGAAGGGCCAUCGCUCAACGGAUAAAAGCUACCCCGGGGAUAACAGGCUUAUCUCCCCCAAGAGUCCACAUCGACGGGGAGGUUUGGCACCUCGAUGUCGGCUCAUCGCAUCCUGGGGCUGUAGUCGGUCCCAAGGGUUGGGCUGUUCGCCCAUUAAAGCGGUACGCGAGCUGGGUUCAGAACGUCGUGAGACAGUUCGGUCCCUAUCCGUCGUGGGCGUAGGAAAUUUGAGAGGAGCUGUCCUUAGUACGAGAGGACCGGGAUGGACGCACCGCUGGUGUACCAGUUGUUCUGCCAAGGGCAUAGCUGGGUAGCUAUGUGCGGAAGGGAUAAGUGCUGAAAGCAUCUAAGCAUGAAGCCCCCCUCAAGAUGAGAUUUCCCAUAGCGUAAGCUAGUAAGAUCCCUGAAAGAUGAUCAGGUUGAUAGGUUCGAGGUGGAAGCAUGGUGACAUGUGGAGCUGACGAAUACUAAUAGAUCGAGGACUUAACCAU
Molecule: ribosomal RNA, 2921 nt
Filed under: Bacillus cereus
Lineage: Bacteria; Bacillati; Bacillota; Bacilli; Caryophanales; Bacillaceae
Description: 23S ribosomal RNA
Rfam family: Bacterial large subunit ribosomal RNA
Source: RNAcentral